This 285-nucleotide unclassified non-coding RNA is filed under the name Hevea brasiliensis (rubber tree). Lineage: Eukaryota; Viridiplantae; Streptophyta; Magnoliopsida; Malpighiales; Euphorbiaceae. The record is from RNAcentral.
AAAGCCUUUUACUGGUUACUAGAUCGUCAUGGAGAAAUAGAAGAUGAUUACUUGAAUAGAAUUACAGUAUAUAUUUUUUUAGUUUUUCUUUUGUCUGUUGCAUUUCCAACGUUUUGUUGUGAUCUUAGUUUUGACUGUGCGAUUGAAUAAUCUACUCAAUAUUUGAUCUGCUUAUUUUAGACAGUUUUUGUUAUUUUUCAUGUUGACAUUGCAAAUGUCAAGUCAUGAUUUUCAUCAUCUGCUAUUGUGGGUCAUUUAUUUUUGUAACUCCUUUCCAAUUGGUUU